GCGGAGGAUCAUUAUCUAUUCCAUGAGGUGCGGUCGCGGCCCUCGGCGGGAGCAACAGCUACCGUCGGGCGGUAGAGGUAACACUUUCACGCGCCGCAUGUCUGAAUCCUUUUUUUACGAGCACCUUUCGUUCUCCUUCGGCGGGGCAACCUGCCGUUGGAACCUAUCAAAACCUUUUUUUGCAUCUAGCAUUACCUGUUCUGAUACAAACAAUCGUUACAACUUUCAACAAUGGAUCUCUUGGCUCUGGCAUCGAUGAAGAACGCAGCGAAAUGCGAUAAGUAGUGUGAAUUGCAGAAUUCAGUGAAUCAUCGAAUCUUUGAACGCACAUUGCGCCCCUUGGUAUUCCAUGGGGCAUGCCUGUUCGAGCGUCAUCUACACCCUCAAGCUCUGCUUGGUGUUGGGCGUCUGUCCCGCCUCUGCGCGCGGACUCGCCCCAAAUUCAUUGGCAGCGGUCCUUGCCUCCUCUCGCGCAGCACAUUGCGCUUCUCGAGGUGCGCGGGCCCGCGUCCACGAAACAACAUUACCGUCUUUGACCUCGGAUCAGGUAG
RNAcentral lists this ribosomal RNA (551 nucleotides) under fungal endophyte sp. M16-3331. RNAcentral describes it as "eukaryotic LSU rRNA". The stretch from base 221 to 374 matches the Rfam family "5.8S ribosomal RNA". Lineage: Eukaryota; Fungi. The record is from RNAcentral.